CAUCGCUGUGCUCUCUUAGUGUGCUGGCAGCGCCAGUCCUCGAUGAAUUCCCCGGUGAGCAGCUUACUCAUGGAGAGUUUUGAAGCACCCUUUGCCCCUGAAGCCAGGACAAAGGCAGCGGGACUCCUGCCUUUCUGUUGAUGCACAAACGUCUGCGGCGGAGGAACCAGAAGGACACGCAGUCUGGAGAGAAGUGCAAUGAAAAAGUGGAGAUCUUCCUCUCAGACUCUUCUCUGCUCCCUUUACCUGGAAUGAAGUUAAGUACUUCACAGUUUGCAUAUAAUGAAGGUUACAAAUGUGCAAAUUUUAACUUUUUUAACUUUUUAAGAUUUUGGAGCUGAUUAUGUCUUUGUCUUAACUUUAACAGUCAAAAGCACUGAACAGGUCAUUAAAGUCCUUUGUGAAUUCAAACAGGUGAGACCUCAAUUUUUUUUCUCUUUGAGAUGAAGUCCUAUAAGGGUAAAAUCUUGUUACAACAUUGAAGUGUUUCUUUUUGUAGACUUCAGAGAAUUUAG
Long non-coding RNA from Aptenodytes forsteri (emperor penguin), 515 nucleotides. RefSeq lists it as uncharacterized. The record is from RefSeq and is a predicted model, not a curated record. The transcript has 3 exons. Lineage: Eukaryota; Metazoa; Chordata; Aves; Sphenisciformes; Spheniscidae.